This 372-nucleotide ribosomal RNA is filed under the name uncultured organism. RNAcentral's name for it is "partial 16S ribosomal RNA". It matches the Rfam family "Bacterial small subunit ribosomal RNA", at positions 527 to 896 of the family's 1533-position model. The record is from RNAcentral.
GUAGGUGGCAAGCGUUGUCCGGAAUUAUUGGGCGUAAAGCGCGCGCAGGCGGUUCUUUAAGUCUGAUGUGAAAGCCCACGGCUCAACCGUGGAGGGUCAUUGGAAACUGGAGAACUUGAGUACAGAAGAGGAAAGCGGAAUUCCACGUGUAGCGGUGGAAUGCGUAGAGAUGUGGAGGAACACCAGUGGCGAAGGCGGCUUUCUGGUCUGUAACUGACGCUGAGGCGCGAAAGCGUGGGGAGCAAACAGGAUUAGAUACCCUGGUAGUCCACGCCGUAAACGAUGAGUGCUAAGUGUUAGGGGGUUUCCGCCCCCCUUAGUGCUGCAGCUAACGCAUUAAGCACUCCGCCUGGGAGUACGGCCGCAAGGCUG